GACGAACGCUGGCGGCGUGCUUAACACAUGCAAGUCGAACGGAAAGGCCCUGCUUUUGUGGGGUGCUCGAGUGGCGAACGGGUGAGUAACACGUGAGUAACCUGCCCUUGACUUUGGGAUAACUUCAGGAAACUGGGGCUAAUACCGGAUAGGAGCUCCUGCUGCAUGGUGGGGGUUGGAAAGUUUCGGCGGUUGGGGAUGGACUCGCGGCUUAUCAGCUUGUUGGUGGGGUAGUGGCUUACCAAGGCUUUGACGGGUAGCCGGCCUGAGAGGGUGACCGGCCACAUUGGGAAUGAGAUACGGACCAGACGCCGACGGGAGGCAGCAGUGGGGAAUAUUGCACAAUGGGCGGAAGCCUGAUGCAGCAACGCCGCGUGCGGGAUGACGGCCUUCGGGUUGUAAACCGAUUUCGCCUGUGACGAAGCGUGAGUGACGGUAAUGGGUAAAGAAGCACCGGCUAACUACGU
This 467-nucleotide ribosomal RNA is filed under the name uncultured bacterium. RNAcentral's name for it is "partial 16S ribosomal RNA". It matches the Rfam family "Bacterial small subunit ribosomal RNA", at positions 28 to 506 of the family's 1533-position model. The record is from RNAcentral.